CUACGGGAGGCAGCAGUGGGGAAUAUUGGACAAUGGGCGAAAGCCUGAUCCAGCCAUGCCGCGUGAGUGAUGAAGGCCUUAGGGUUGUAAAGCUCUUUUGUCGGGGACGAUAAUGACGGUACCCGAAGAAUAAGCCCCGGCUAACUUCGUGCCAGCAGCCGCGGUAAUACGAAGGGGGCUAGCGUUGCUCGGAAUCACUGGGCGUAAAGCGCACGUAGGCGGGUUGCUAAGUCAGGGGUGAAAUCCUGGAGCUCAACUCCAGAACUGCCUUUGAUACUGGCGACCUUGAGUCCGGGAGAGGUGAGUGGAACUGCGAGUGUAGAGGUGAAAUUCGUAGAUAUUCGCAAGAACACCAGUGGCGAAGGCGGCUCACUGGCCCGAUACUGACGCUGAGGCACGAAAGCGUGGGGAGCAAACAGGAUUAGAAACCCUGGUAGUCC
RNAcentral lists this ribosomal RNA (440 nucleotides) under uncultured bacterium. Its description in RNAcentral is "bacterial SSU rRNA". It matches the Rfam family "Bacterial small subunit ribosomal RNA", at positions 339 to 796 of the family's 1533-position model. The record is from RNAcentral.